ACAUACGACCAUACCCACUGGAAAA
RNAcentral lists this ribosomal RNA (25 nucleotides) under Neurospora crassa. RNAcentral describes it as "partial ribosomal RNA". The record is from RNAcentral. Lineage: Eukaryota; Fungi; Ascomycota; Sordariomycetes; Sordariales; Sordariaceae.